RNAcentral lists this transfer RNA (95 nucleotides) under Pseudorhizobium halotolerans. RNAcentral's name for it is "Rhizobium halotolerans tRNA-Thr(ggt)". The record is from RNAcentral. Lineage: Bacteria; Pseudomonadati; Pseudomonadota; Alphaproteobacteria; Hyphomicrobiales; Rhizobiaceae.
GGUCGAUAUAGCGCAGGUUCAGCGCCUCGUUGAAGGUGAGGAUGCCCGCCGCCUUGCCGGCGGCGGUGAUCGUGCCAAUCGCCUUCUCGAUCACC